AACGAACGCUGGCGGCAUGCCUAACACAUGCAAGUCGAACGAUACCUUCGUGCCUAGUGGCGCACGGGUGCGUAACGCGUGGGAACCUGCCCUUAGGUUCGUUAUCACUCCCCGAAAGGGGUGCUAAUACCGGUUAAUCUCUUCCGACCAAAGAUUUAUCGCCUUUGGAUGGGCCCGCGUUGGAUUCGCUAGUUGGUAGGGGAAACGCCUACGAAGGCUACGAUCCAUAGCUGGUCUGGGAGAAUGAUCAGCCACACUGGGACUGAGACACGGCCCAGACUCGUACGGGAGGAAGCGGGGGGGAAUAUUGGACAAUGGGAGAAAGACUGAGCCAGCAAUGCCGCGGGAGUGAUGAAGGCCUUAUGGUUGUAAAGCUCUUUUAACAGGGAGGAUAAUGACAGUACCGGGAGAAUAAGCGCCGGCUAAUUCCGUG
Molecule: ribosomal RNA, 433 nt
Filed under: uncultured bacterium
Lineage: Bacteria
Description: partial 16S ribosomal RNA
Rfam family: Bacterial small subunit ribosomal RNA
Source: RNAcentral